ACCGGCAGCUCAAGUGGUGGCCAUUAUUAUUGGGCCUAAAGCGUUCGUAGCCGGUUUGAUAAGUCUCUGGUGAAAUCCCGCAGCUUAACUGUGGGACUUGCUGGAGAUACUAUCAGACUUGAGGUCGGGAGAGGUUAGGGGUACUCCCAGGGUAGGGGUGAAAUCCUAUAAUCCUGGGAGGACUACCUGUGGCGAAGGCGCCUAACUGGAACGAACCUGCCGGUGAGCACCGAAAGCCAGGAGCGCUAACCG
Molecule: ribosomal RNA, 252 nt
Filed under: uncultured prokaryote
Description: partial 16S rRNA
Rfam family: Archaeal small subunit ribosomal RNA
Source: RNAcentral